GACGAACGCUGGCGGCGUGCCUAAUACAUGCAAGUAGAACGCUGAAGGAGGAGCUUGCUUCUCUGGAUGAGUUGCGAACGGGUGAGUAACGCGUAGGUAACCUGCCUGGUAGCGGGUGAUAACUAUUGGAAACGAUAGCUAAUACCGCAUAAUAGUAGAUGUUGCAUGACAUUUGCUUAAAAGGUGCAAUUGCAUCACUACCAGAUGGACCUGCGUUGUAUUAGCUAGUUGGUGGGGUAACGGCUCACCAAGGCGACGAUACAUAGCCGACCUGAGAGGGUGAUCGGCCACACUGGGACUGAGACACGGCCCAGACUCCUACGGGAGGCAGCAGUAGGGAAGCUUCGGCAAUGGACGGAAGUCUGACCGAGCAACGCCGCGUGAGUGAAGAAGGGUUUCGGAUCGUAAAGCUCUGUUGUAAGAGAAGAACGAGUGUGAGAGUGGAAAGUUCACACUGUGACGGUAUCUUACCAGAAAGGGACGGCUAACUACGUG
RNAcentral lists this ribosomal RNA (495 nucleotides) under uncultured bacterium. Its description in RNAcentral is "partial 16S ribosomal RNA". It matches the Rfam family "Bacterial small subunit ribosomal RNA", at positions 28 to 507 of the family's 1533-position model. The record is from RNAcentral.